This 489-nucleotide ribosomal RNA is filed under the name uncultured Candidatus Saccharibacteria bacterium. Its description in RNAcentral is "bacterial SSU rRNA". It matches the Rfam family "Bacterial small subunit ribosomal RNA", at positions 392 to 896 of the family's 1533-position model. The record is from RNAcentral. Lineage: Bacteria; Candidatus Saccharimonadota.
CAACGCCGCGUGCAGGAUGAAGGCCCUCGGGUCGUAAACUGCUUUUAUCUGUGACGAUUAUGACGGUAGCAGAUGAAUAAGGAUCGGCUAACUCCGUGCCAGCAGCCGCGGUCAUACGGAGGAUCCAAGCGUUAUCCGGAAUUACUGGGCGUAAAGAGUUGCGUAGGCGGCAUGGUAAGUAGAUGGUGAAAUCCUGGGGCUCAACCCUUUAAACAUUAUCUAAACUGCCAAGCUAGAACAUGAGAGAGGUAGCUGGAAUUACUAGUGUAGGAGUGAAAUCCGUAGAUAUUAGUAGGAACACCGAUGGCGUAGGCAGGCUACUGGCUCAUUGUUGACGCUCAGGCACGAAAGCGUGGGGAGCGACCGGGAUUAGAUACCCCGUUAGUCCACGCCGUAAACGAUGGAUGCUAGCUGUUAUGAGUAUCGACCCUCGUAGUAGCGAAGCUAACGCGUUAAGCAUCCCGCCUGUGGAGUACGAGCGCAAGCUUA